This is a long non-coding RNA of Hippopotamus amphibius kiboko, 580 nucleotides long. RefSeq lists it as uncharacterized. The record is from RefSeq and is a predicted model, not a curated record. The transcript is spliced from 5 exons. Lineage: Eukaryota; Metazoa; Chordata; Mammalia; Artiodactyla; Hippopotamidae.
CCAACUGUCAAAAGGAAUUUUGAUGGCAGUGGAGUUCCUGCAGUCGUUUCUGAGGCCCAACUACAGUCCUGCCCAUCUCUUAGAUGCUUACUGAAACAUUCAAUCGGACUAGUGCUAAAUUUGAGACCUGACCUGCAAAUCCAUGCCUUACAUCUUCAUUCCUUCAUUAUCAGGUCUUAAUUAAAGGAACAGAAACAGGCUGUCCCUGUGGCUUCUGUACUCCUUCAAGCUGCCCAGCAGUGGUGCUGGUGAAAACCUGACAUGACCUCUCAGCUCAGCCUCCUCUGUGGGUACCACUUGCCUCAUCUGUACAGUGGAGAUUUGGUGGCAGCAGUGGGAUCUGAAGUGAACUCCUGAUGGCUUCAGGGACAACAAAAAACACAGGCAUGGUACUCCACAAACCCGCUGAGUUCUCUGUCUUCCUGCCAUUUCCGAAGGUCAUGGGACACAAUUGGAAACAUUGGCUAUAUCACCAAGGCUUUGACUGGAACAUCAUAUUUAAGAGAGAUAUCCAUGGACUCAGAUAUAACCAAAGUUUAUGUGCUCAGUCACUGUUCUUGCUACACUUACAUAAAUAAUC